RNAcentral lists this ribosomal RNA (492 nucleotides) under uncultured bacterium. RNAcentral describes it as "partial 16S ribosomal RNA". It matches the Rfam family "Bacterial small subunit ribosomal RNA", at positions 28 to 507 of the family's 1533-position model. The record is from RNAcentral.
GAUGAACGCUAGCUACAGGCUUAACACAUGCAAGUCGAGGGGAAACGGCAUCGAAAGCUUGCUUUUGAUGGGCGUCGACCGGCGCACGGGUGAGUAACGCGUAUCCAACCUGCCCAUCACUUGGGAAUAACCUUGCGAAAGUAAGACUAAUGCCCAAUGACAUCCCACGAAGGCAUCCGAAUGGGAUUAAAGAUUUAUCGGUGAUGGAUGGGGAUGCGUCUGAUUAGCUUGUUGGCGGGGUGACGGCCCACCAAGGCAACGAUCAGGAGGGGUUCUGAGAGGAAGGUCCCCCACAUUGGAACUGAGACACGGUCCAAACUCCUACGGCAGGCAGCAGUGAGGAAUAUUGGGCAGUGGGCGAGAGCCUGAACCAGCCAAGUAGCGUGCAGGAUGACGGCCCUAUGGGUUGUAAACUGCUUUUAUAAGGGAAUAAAGUGGGUCACGUGUGACUUUUUGCAUGUACCUUAUGAAUAAGGACCGGCUAAUUCCGUG